This 481-nucleotide ribosomal RNA is filed under the name uncultured bacterium. Its description in RNAcentral is "bacterial SSU rRNA". It matches the Rfam family "Bacterial small subunit ribosomal RNA", at positions 28 to 516 of the family's 1533-position model. The record is from RNAcentral.
GAUGAACGCUAGCGACAGGCCUAACACAUGCAAGUCGAGGGGCAGCGGGGAUGAAGCUUGCUUCAUCUGCCGGCGACCGGCGCACGGGUGAGUAACACGUAUGCAACCUGCCCGCCACAGGGGGAUAAACGCUGGAAACGGCGCCUAAUACCCCAUACUAUCGCUAUGCUGCAUGGCAUGGCGAUGAAAACUCCGGUGGUGGCGGAUGGGCAUGCGGCGCAUUAGCUAGUUGGAGGGGUAACGGCCCACCAAGGCGACGAUGCGUAGCCGGCCUGAGAGGGUGAACGGCCACAUUGGGACUGAGACACGGCCCAAACUCCUACGGGAGGCAGCAGUGGGGAAUAUUGCACAAUGGGGGGAAACCCUGAUGCAGCGACGCCGCGUGAGUGAAGAAGUAUUUCGGUAUGUAAAGCUCUAUCAGCAGGGAAGAAAAUGACGGUACCUGACUAAGAAGCCCCGGGCUAACUACGUGCCAGCAGCC